AGUGCUAUCGCCAAAAAGAAUCGUGCCAAUGUAGUACCUCAUACAUCUGGCAGCAAGAGUCAUGCCCGUGUUGCCAAUGAAUUGGUUGUCAAACUUGGCCAUGAUCCUCGGAGAGAUGAAGUUUAUAUCGAAACACAUACAUGCAAGAAAGGGGAAAGGAAAGGGAUUUAUGUGCCGCAGGCAGAAACAACAAUUAAAGAACUCAUAGAGAAUGCUGAAAAGCACCCUGAAUGGAAGGAAAAGAGCAUUCAAGAAGGUGAUCUAUUUGCACGCGUAUGUGGAAUGAAGGAGCCCAGGGGUCGUGUCCGUGUGUUAGGUCUAGGUCCAACACCUCAAGAUUUGGGCACACCGGGUACACGGGGUAAAUUGAGCACAAGAGUUCUAGUUGAAAUGCAAGGGCGUCGAGAAGCUGAAAAUCGCUAUAACAUGCUCCAGGGGCAUGUGCAACAAAUGGAAGAAAGAAUGAACCGAAUGGAAUUGAUGUUAGCUUCACAAGGAAGGCAUAAUCUCGAAACUCCUAGCUCGCAGCAUGGUUCCAAUUCUCGACAAAACUCCGGAGCUGAAGCUAAGGAACAAAAUGACGCUGAAGAAGAUGUUGAACAGGAUGAUGAAGAGCCAUUUGUUCAAAGAAGAGUUGUUGCAAAGCCCCCUGCAAGAAGCUCAUCAACCUAUGAAGAUGAAAGC
Molecule: ribosomal RNA, 684 nt
Filed under: Triticum aestivum (bread wheat)
Lineage: Eukaryota; Viridiplantae; Streptophyta; Magnoliopsida; Poales; Poaceae
Description: partial small subunit ribosomal RNA
Source: RNAcentral